GGUAAAAUGGCUGAAACUAGGCAAUAAACUGUAAAUUUAUUUAUGAGAAUAAAAUUCUCUUUUACCA
RNAcentral lists this transfer RNA (67 nucleotides) under Sialis koreana. Its description in RNAcentral is "tRNA-Tyr". It matches the Rfam family "tRNA". Rfam says of the family: Transfer RNA (tRNA) molecules are approximately 80 nucleotides in length. Their secondary structure includes four short double-helical elements and three loops (D, anti-codon, and T loops). The record is from RNAcentral. Lineage: Eukaryota; Metazoa; Arthropoda; Insecta; Megaloptera; Sialidae.